Molecule: long non-coding RNA, 870 nt
Filed under: Phasianus colchicus (ring-necked pheasant)
Lineage: Eukaryota; Metazoa; Chordata; Aves; Galliformes; Phasianidae
Description: lncRNA (ENSPCLG00000013849.1)
Source: RNAcentral
GUGUGUCCCUAUAGGGCUCUGUGUGUCUCUAUGGUGCUCUGCAGGUCCUUAUAGGGUUCUGUGUGUCCCUAUGGGUCCUUAUGGGGCUCUAUGGGUCCCUAUAGGGUUCUGUGUGUCCCUAUGGGGCUCUGAGUGUCCCUAUAGGGUUCUGUGGGUCCCUAUGGGGUUCUGUGUGUCCCUAUAGGGUUCUAUGGGUCCCUAUAGGGUUCUGUGUGGCUCUGUGUGUCUCUACGGUGCUCUGCGGGUCCUUAUAGGGUUCUGUGUGUCCCUAUGGGUCCUUAUGGGGCUCUUUGGGUCCCUAUAGGGUUCUGUGUGUCCCUAUAGGGUUCUGUGUGUCCCUAUGGGGUUCUGUGUGUCCCUAUAGGGUUCUAUGGGUCCCUAUAGGGUUCUGUGUGUCCCUAUGGGUCCCUAUGGGGCUCUGUGCGUCCCUAUGGGGCUCCAUGCACCCCUAUGGGGUUUCCGCGUGUCCCUAAGGGUGUCUGUGUGGGGCAGGGCAGGAGGCAGCCCCGCAGUGGGGCGUCGAGGAGGCGGCUGUGGGGCAGUGCCCCAUAACCCCCUUCAACCUGGAGGAGGAGAUGGAGAGCGGCAGCUUCGACCGCGCUGGGAAUUACAGACCUCGCGGGCCCCCCCUGCGCCCCGACCCGUGGCUGGAUGCGCUGCCCUGGGUAUGGGGGCUGUGGGGUGGCUCUGGGGUGAUGUGGGGUGGCUGUGGGGUGAUACGGGGUGGCUAUGGGGUGAUGUGGGGUGGCUAUGGGGUGAAACAGGGUGAUGUGGGGUGGCUAUGGGGUGAUGUGGGGUGGCUAUGGGGUGAAACAGGGUGAUGUGGGGUGAUAUGGGGUGGCUAUGGGAUGAUAUGGGGUGAUGUGGGGU